Molecule: ribosomal RNA, 965 nt
Filed under: Micrococcus antarcticus
Lineage: Bacteria; Bacillati; Actinomycetota; Actinomycetes; Micrococcales; Micrococcaceae
Description: bacterial SSU rRNA
Rfam family: Bacterial small subunit ribosomal RNA
Source: RNAcentral
UGCAAGUCGAACGAUGAAGCCCAGCUUGCUGGGUGGAUUAGUGGCGAACGGGUGAGUAACACGUGAGUAACCUGCCCUUGACUCUAGGAUAAGCCCGGGAAACUGGGUCUAAUACUGGAUAGGAACGUCUACCGCAUGGUGGGUGUUGGAAAGAAUUUCGGUCAUGGAUGGACUCGCGGCCUAUCAGCUUGUUGGUGAGGUAAUGGCUCACCAAGGCGACGACGGGUAGCCGGCCUGAGAGGGUGACCGGCCACACUGGGACUGAGACACGGCCCAGACUCCUACGGGAGGCAGCAGUGGGGAAUAUUGCACAAUGGGCGAAAGCCUGAUGCAGCGACGCCGCGUGAGGGAUGACGGCCUUCGGGUUGUAAACCUCUUUCAGUAGGGAAGAAGCGAAAGUGACGGUACCUGCAGAAGAAGCACCGGCUAACUACGUGCCAGCAGCCGCGGUAAUACGUAGGGUGCGAGCGUUAUCCGGAAUUAUUGGGCGUAAAGAGCUCGUAGGCGGUUUGUCGCGUCUGUCGUGAAAGUCCGGGGCUUAACCCCGGAUCUGCGGUGGGUACGGGCAGACUAGAGUGCAGUAGGGGAGACUGGAAUUCCUGGUGUAGCGGUGGAAUGCGCAGAUAUCAGGAGGAACACCGAUGGCGAAGGCAGGUCUCUGGGCUGUAACUGACGCUGAGGAGCGAAAGCAUGGGGAGCGAACAGGAUUAGAUACCCUGGUAGUCCAUGCCGUAAACGUUGGGCACUAGGUGUGGGGAACAUUCCACGUUUUCCGCGCCGCAGCUAACGCAUUAAGUGCCCCGCCUGGGGAGUACGGCCGCAAGGCUAAAACUCAAAGGAAUUGACGGGGGCCCGCACAAGCGGCGGAGCAUGCGGAUUAAUUCGAUGCAACGCGAAGAACCUUACCAAGGCUUGACAUGUUCUCGAUCGCCGUAGAGAUACGGUUUCCCCUUUGGGGCGGGUUC